UUUUUUUUGUGACUAGUGAUAGGAAUUUACGUGGCGUAGCAUGGAAAGACGAGAACUGCUGAAAUAUGAGAGGCUUCCGCAACUCAGCCUGAUUUGGAAAGAUCAAAAUCCGAAGGAUGAAGGCAAGUACCAGCUGAUCCAGCAACACACAUCUUGAUUACAAGGCUUCUGCUAAGAGAAAGAACUCAUCAAAGGAUGCAGGCUCAGAUGGUCCUCAAAGCAAGGUGUCAGUACCAAAGGGAUCACGUUUUGGGCGCAUUGGCUCAAAUCCACUUCAGAAAACUAUGGGUUGGGUCUCAAGAUCCCACCGCCGGGCAAAACUGGGUGAUUAAAACAAAUUCUAUUAUGAUCAAAAGCUUAAGAAAUGGGUUGAGGAAGGUGCUAAGCCUCCAACUGAGGAAGCUGCCCUACCACCGCAUCCAACAGCAGUAUCACUCUAGAAUGGUAUACCAUAUUACAACAUAAACAACGCCUUUACAAGCAAUGAAAGUCUUGCCAAUAAUCGGUGGUUCGAAGGGGAAAUCCUUGGCUCCCAUAGAACAUAGUUUAGGGAUCCCACCCAUUCCACCCAGCCAAAACCAAUAUUCAGCUCAUAGUAGAAUGGGAGUUCGAUCAAGCCGGAUGGUGUGGUGGACCCAUUACGAGAUGGAGCACAAACGAGACGUGGCAAGGUUGGUGCUGAGGAACCGGGAGUGGCAGCUAGUGAGGGAGGUGCCGAGGGAGAUGGAGGUAGGGGAGGAAGAGCUGGCGAAGUAGCUCGAAAAGGAGGAGGAAAAAGGUGUCAUCUUUGGCUCCCAUGGAUGGAGAGUGAGGAAGUCAGUUGCGAAGAAGAAGACAGAGGAGUUUCCCAUUUCGUUGUGGCCAUUUAAUUAUUCAGGACAUUUUAAUUAUCUUAUAAAUUUAU
Molecule: non-coding RNA, 904 nt
Organism: Elaeis guineensis (African oil palm)
Lineage: Eukaryota; Viridiplantae; Streptophyta; Magnoliopsida; Arecales; Arecaceae
Source: RefSeq, a predicted model, not a curated record